UGGGGAAUUUUGGACAAUGGGCGAAAGCCUGAUCCAGCAAUACCGCGUGCAGGAAGAAGGCCCUCGGGUUGUAAACUGCUUUUGUACGGAACGAAACGGCGCGCUCUAAUAAAGUGCGCUAAUGACGGUACCGUAAGAAUAAGCACCGGCUAACUACGUGCCAGCAGCCGCGGUAAUACGUAGGGUGCAAGCGUUAAUCGGAAUUACUGGGCGUAAAGCGUGCGCAGGCGGUUAUGUAAGACAAAGGUGAAAUCCCCGGGCUCAACCUGGGAACUGCCUUUGUGACUGCAUAGCUAGAGUACGGUAGAGGGGGAUGGAAUUCCGCGUGUAGCAGUGAAAUGCGUAGAUAUGCGGAGGAACACCGAUGGCGAAGGCAGCCCCCUGGACCUGUACUGACGCUCAUGCACGAAAGCGUGGGGAGCAAACAGGAUUAGAUACCCUGGUAGUCCACGCCCUAAACGAUGUCAACUGGUUGUUGGGAAUUUACUUUCUCAGUAACGAAGCUAACGCGUGAAGUUGACCGCCUGGGGGAGUACGGCCGCAAGGUUG
This 549-nucleotide ribosomal RNA is filed under the name uncultured beta proteobacterium. RNAcentral's name for it is "bacterial SSU rRNA". It matches the Rfam family "Bacterial small subunit ribosomal RNA", at positions 355 to 896 of the family's 1533-position model. Lineage: Bacteria; Pseudomonadati; Pseudomonadota; Betaproteobacteria. The record is from RNAcentral.